CAGUUCUCGUUCGAUCACCGAAGUUAAGCAACGUCGAGCCUCGUUAGUACCUAACUGGGUGACCGCUUUGGAAUACCAGUUGUUGUAA
Molecule: non-coding RNA, 88 nt
Organism: Acanthosepion pharaonis
Lineage: Eukaryota; Metazoa; Mollusca; Cephalopoda; Sepiida; Sepiidae
Source: the annotation of a GenBank genome assembly